GGACGGGAUCGGGGAGCUUGCUCCCUGUGAGAGUGGCGCACGGGUGCGUAACACGUAUGUAACCUACCUUAGUCAGGGGGAUAGCCUCUCGAAAGAGAGAUUAAGACCGCAUAACAUCAUGAAGUGGCAUCGCUUUAUGAUCAAAUAUUUAUAGGACUAAGAUGGGCAUGCGCAACAUUAGCUAGUUGGUGUGGUAACGGCAUACCAAGGCUACGAUGUUUAGGGGAUCUGAGAGGAUGACCCCCCACACUGGUACUGAGACACGGACCAGACUCCUACGGGAGGCAGCAGUAAGGAAUAUUGGUCAAUGGACGGAAGUCUGAACCAGCCAUGCCGCGUGCAGGAAGACGGCCCUACGGGUUGUAAAC
RNAcentral lists this ribosomal RNA (368 nucleotides) under uncultured bacterium. RNAcentral's name for it is "bacterial SSU rRNA". It matches the Rfam family "Bacterial small subunit ribosomal RNA", at positions 64 to 430 of the family's 1533-position model. The record is from RNAcentral.